This 935-nucleotide ribosomal RNA is filed under the name Phaeosphaeria juncophila. RNAcentral describes it as "SSU rRNA". It matches the Rfam family "Eukaryotic small subunit ribosomal RNA", at positions 119 to 1064 of the family's 1831-position model. The record is from RNAcentral. Lineage: Eukaryota; Fungi; Ascomycota; Dothideomycetes; Pleosporales; Phaeosphaeriaceae.
AUUUGAUAGUACCUUACUACUUGGAUAACCGUGGUAAUUCUAGAGCUAAUACAUGCUAAAAACCCCAACUUCGGGAGGGGUGUAUUUAUUAGAUAAAAAACCAACGCCCUUCGGGGCUUCUUGGUGAUUCAUGAUAACUUUACGGAUCGCAUGGCCUUGCGCCGGCGACGGUUCAUUCAAAUUUCUGCCCUAUCAACUUUCGAUGGUAAGGUAUUGGCUUACCAUGGUUUCAACGGGUAACGGGGAAUUAGGGUUCGAUUCCGGAGAGGGAGCCUGAGAAACGGCUACCACAUCCAAGGAAGGCAGCAGGCGCGCAAAUUACCCAAUCCCGACACGGGGAGGUAGUGACAAUAAAUACUGAUACAGGGCUCUUUUGGGUCUUGUAAUUGGAAUGAGUACAAUUUAAACCUCUUAACGAGGAACAAUUGGAGGGCAAGUCUGGUGCCAGCAGCCGCGGUAAUUCCAGCUCCAAUAGCGUAUAUUAAAGUUGUUGCAGUUAAAAAGCUCGUAGUUGAAACUUGGGUCUGGCUGGCAGGUCCGCCUCACCGCGUGUACUUGUCCGGCCGGGCCUUCCUUCUGGAGAACCUCAUGCCCUUCACUGGGCGUGUUGGGGACCAGGACUUUUACUUUGAAAAAAUUAGAGUGUUCAAAGCAGGCCUUUGCUCGAAUACGUUAGCAUGGAAUAAUAGAAUAGGACGUGCGGUCCUAUUUUGUUGGUUUCUAGGACCGCCGUAAUGAUUAAUAGGGACAGUCGGGGGCAUCAGUAUUCAAUUGUCAGAGGUGAAAUUCUUGGAUUUAUUGAAGACUAACUACUGCGAAAGCAUUUGCCAAGGAUGUUUUCAUUAAUCAGUGAACGAAAGUUAGGGGAUCGAAGACGAUCAGAUACCGUCGUAGUCUUAACCGUAAACUAUGCCGACUAGGGAUCGGGCGAUGUU